CCUACGGGACGCAGCAGUGGGGAAUAUUGCACAAUGGGCGCAAACCUGAUGCAGCCAUGCCGCGUGUAUGAAGAAGGCCUUAGGGUUGUAAAGUACUUUCAGUUGGGAGGAAGGCGUUGAUGCUAAUAUCAUCAACGAUUGACGUUACCAACAGAAGAAGCACCGGCUAACUCCGUGCCAGCAGCCGCGGUAAUACGGAGGGUGCAAGCGUUAAUCGGAAUUACUGGGCGUAAAGCGCACGCAGGCGGUUGAUUAAGUUAGAUGCGAAAUCCCCGGGCUUAACCUGGGAAUGGCAUCUAAGACUGGUCAGCUAGAGUCUUGUAGAGGGGGGUAGAAUUCCAUGUGUAGCGGUGAAGUGCGUAGAGAUGUGGAGGAAUACCGGUGGCGAAGGCGGCCCCCUGGACAAAGACUGACGCUCAGGUGCGAAAGCGUGGGGAGCAAACCGGAUUAGAUACCCUCGUAGUC
This 465-nucleotide ribosomal RNA is filed under the name uncultured bacterium. Its description in RNAcentral is "bacterial SSU rRNA". It matches the Rfam family "Bacterial small subunit ribosomal RNA", at positions 338 to 795 of the family's 1533-position model. The record is from RNAcentral.